RNAcentral lists this ribosomal RNA (253 nucleotides) under uncultured bacterium. RNAcentral's name for it is "partial 16S ribosomal RNA". It matches the Rfam family "Bacterial small subunit ribosomal RNA", at positions 524 to 776 of the family's 1533-position model. The record is from RNAcentral.
GACGAAGGAUGCAAGCGUUAUCCGGAUUCAUUGGGUUUAAAGGGUGCGUAGGUGGCCUUAUAAGUCAGUGGUGAAAUCUCUGGGCUUAACCCAGAAAUUGCCAUUGAUACUGUAGGGCUUGAGUACAGUUGCUGUGGGCGGAAUAUGACAUGUAGUGGUGAAAUACAUAGAGAUGUCAUAGAACACCGAUUGCGAAGGCAGCUCACAAAGCUGUAACUGACACUGAGGCUCGAAAGUGCGGGGAUCAAACAGG